UGGGGAAUAUUGCGCAAUGGGGGGAACCCUGACGCAGCCAUGCCGCGUGAAUGAAGAAGGCCUUAGGGUUGUAAAGUUCUUUCGGUAUUGAGGAAGGUUGAUGUGUUAAUAGCACAUCAAAUUGACGUUAAAUACAGAAGAAGCACCGGCUAACUCCGUGCCAGCAGCCGCGGUAAUACGGAGGGUGCGAGCGUUAAUCGGAAUAACUGGGCGUAAAGGGCACGCAGGCGGUUAUUUAAGUGAGGUGUGAAAGCCCCGGGCUUAACCUGGGAAUUGCAUUUCAGACUGGGUAACUAGAGUACUUUAGGGAGGGGUAGAAUUCCACGUGUAGCGGCGAAAUGCGUAGAGAUGUGGAGGAAUACCGAAGGCGAAGGCAGCCCCUUGGGAAUGUACUGACGCUCAUGUGCGAAAGCGUGGGGAGCAAACAGGAUUAGAUACCCUGGUAGUCCACGCUGUAAACGCUGUCGAUUUGGGGGUUGGGGUUUAACUCUGGCGCCCGUAGCUAACGUGAUAAAUCGACCGCCUGGGGANNANUCNCAAGGUUA
Molecule: ribosomal RNA, 545 nt
Filed under: uncultured bacterium
Lineage: Bacteria
Description: bacterial SSU rRNA
Rfam family: Bacterial small subunit ribosomal RNA
Source: RNAcentral